AUAUAUUUGAAUACUUUAUACAUGUUUUCUAGAUUUGUACAUUUUUCAUUUGUUCACUGAGUGUUUCUAUCCUCUCCUAUUGUUGUCAUUCUCGGCGUACGGUGAUCUAUCUAUCUCCAUUCUCUCUCUCAGGCCGAUGGCAUCUGUUCAUUCCAACCUGAGAGAGAGAGAACUUAAUUCCUCUGAAUUAAUUUAUCCUCGUUCCCUCCAGAGUACAGGGACCUCAGCUUGUUGCGGUGUCUACAGACAGACAGACAGACAGACAGAGUUGGGUCUGGCUCAUAAAUGAUGCAUAAGGUUUAAUUGCAAACCCAGAAAUGAAUGACUUUGGACUGAUGUAGAGCAGGGGAACCAUACAUCUCUGCAAAAAUAAAUAAAUAAAGACAACUAAUUGAUGAAUAAUUAAGGCCGUGCGCAGAAGGACGGCUCGGAGCUACAGGCCAUAUUUGUGACAUUUUGUUUCAAUCAAUUCCAAAGCGCAAGUCGGGUUAGGAGGGAAAGUGCACUUAGGAGAGAGACGGCCUUGACAGAGGAACAGAGAGGAUGUCCUGAGAGAGACGGCCUUGACAGAGGAACAGAGAGGAUGUCCUGAGAGACAGCCUUGACAGAGGACCAGAGAGGAUGUCCUGAGAGACAGCCUUGACAGAGGAACAGAGAGGAUGUCCUGAGAGACGGCCUUGACAGAGGAACAGAGAGGAUGUCCUGAGAGACAGCCUUGACAGAGGACCAGAGAGGAUGUCCUGAGAGACGGCCUGGACAGAGGAACAGAGAGGAUGUCCUGAGAGACAGCCUUGACAGAGGAACAGAGAGGAUGUCCUGAGAGACGGCCUUGACAGAGGAACAGAGAGGAUGUCCUGAGAGAGACGGCCUUGACAGAGGAACAGAGAGGAUGUCCUGAGAGACGGCCUUGACAGAGGAACAGAGAGGAUGUCCUGAGAGAGACGGCCUUGACAGAGGAACAGAGAGGAGAGACGGCCUUGACAGAGGAACAGAGAGGAUGUCCUGAGAGACGGCCUUGACAGAGGAACAGAGAGGAUGUCCUGAGAGAGACGGCCUUGACAGAGGAACAGAGAGGAGAGACAGCCUUGACAGAGGAACAGAGAGAAUGUCCUGAGAGACGGCCUUGACAGAGGAACAGAGAGGAUGUCCUGAGAGAGACGGCCUUGACAGAGGAACAGAGAGGAGAGACGGCCUUGACAGAGGAACAGAGAGGAUGUCCUGAGAGACGGCCUUGACAGAGGAACAGAGAGGAGAGACGGCCUUGACAGAGGACCAGAGAGGAUGUCCUGAGAGAGACGGCCUUGACAGAGGAACAGAGAGGAGAGACAGCCUUGACAGAGGAACAGAGAGGAUGUCCUGAGAGACGGCCUUGACAGAGGAACAGAGAGGAGAGACGGCCUUGACAGAGGAACAGAGAGGAUGUCCUGAGAGAGACGGCCUUGACAGAGGAACAGAGAGGAUAGACGGCCUUGACAGAGGAACAGAGAGGAUGUCCUGAGAGACGGCCUUGACAGAGGAACAGAGAGGAUCAGAGAUGAUGCCCUGUUGGAAUAAAAGACAUCAGAUUCGUUGUCACGUAGCGUUGUAGUCAUGUAGGGUCGUAUUUAUGUAGACUCGUAGGAUCAUAGUCACGUAGGGUCGUAGUCACGUAGGGUCAUAUUCACGUAGGGUCGUAGUCACGUAGGGUCGUAGUCACGUAGGGUCGUAGUCACGUAGGAUCAUAGUCACGUAGAGUCACAGUCACAUAGGGUCAUAUUCACGUAGGGUCGUAGUCACGUAGGGUCGUAGUCACGUAGGGUCGUAGUCACGUAGGGUCGUAGUCACGUAGGAUCAUAGUCACGUAGAGUCACAGUCACAUAGGGUCAUAUUCACGUAGGGUCGUAGUCACGUAGGGUCGUAGUCACGUAGGGUCGUUGUCACGUAGGGUCGUAUUCACGUAGGGUCUUAGUUGUGUAGAGUCAUAUUCACGUAGAGUCGUAGUUAUGUAGAGUCAUAGUCACGUAGGGUCGUAGUCACGUAGAGUCGUAGUUAUGUAGAGUCGUAGUUAUGUAGAGUCGUAGUUAUGUAGGGUCGUAGUUAUGUAGGGUCGUAGUUAUGUAGGGUCGUAGUUAUGUAGGGUCGUAGUCACGUAGGGUUGUAGUUAUGUAGAGUCGUAGUCACGUAGGGUCUUAGUUAUGUAGAGUCGUAGUCACGUAGAGUCGUAGUUAUGUAGGGUCGUAGUUAUGUAGAGUCGUAGUUAUGUAGAGUCGUAGUUAUGUAGAGUCGUAGUCACGUAGGGUCGUAGUCAUGUAGAGUCGUAGUCACGUAGGGUCUUAGUUAUGUAGAGUCGUAGUUAUGUAGAGUCGUAGUUAUGUAGGGUCGUAGUUAUGUAGAGUCGUAGUUACGUAGAGUCGUAGUUACGUAGAGUCGUAGUUACGUAGAGUCGUAGUUACGUAGGGUCGUAGUUACGUAGGGUCGUAGUUACGUAGGGUCGUAGUUAUGUAGGGUCGUAGUUAUGUAGGGUCGUAGUUAUGUAGAGUCGUAGUUAUGUAGAGUCGUAGUUAUGUAGGGUCGUAGUUAUGUAGAGUCGUAGUUAUGUAGAGUCGUAGUUAUGUAGAGUCGUAGUUAUGUAGGGUCUUAGUUAUGUAGAGUCGUAGUUAUGUAGGCUUGUUGUCAUACAGGGUCACAGUCAUAUAGGUUCAUAGUCAUAUUUAAUGGGUUUUACUGAGGCCUCGAACGGACAGGCAGACAUUACUGGACCCUGCACUCACUGUCCUGUGUGUAUCAAAUGUAACUUUCCAGCCAACCAGUAGCUUCCUUAAUGUUCAGCAGUUUCUGAAAAGCAGUUGUCAAGUGAGUGUCCGUAAUAUACCAACAACACUGGCAUUGUGGAGACCACACCUGAGUGUCCAUAAUAUACCAACAACACUGGCAUUGUGGAGACCACACCUGAGUGUCCAUAAUAUACCAACAACACUGGCAUUGUGGAGACCACACCUGAGUGUCCAUAAUAUACCAACAACACUGG
Molecule: long non-coding RNA, 3007 nt
Filed under: Salmo salar (Atlantic salmon)
Lineage: Eukaryota; Metazoa; Chordata; Actinopteri; Salmoniformes; Salmonidae
Description: lncRNA (ENSSSAG00000082779.1)
Source: RNAcentral